UACGAGGGGGGCGAGCGUUGUUCGGAAUUAUUGGGCGUAAAGGGUGCGUAGGCGGUUUGGUAAGUCUUAUGUGAAAUCUACAGGCUCAACUUGUAGUCUGCAUGAGAAACUGCCGGGCCUGAGUAUGGGAGAGGUAAGUGGAAUUCCGAGUGUAGAGGUGAAAUUCGUAGAUAUUCGGAAGAACACCAGUGGCGAAGGCGACUUACUGGACACAUAUUGACGCUGAGGUGCGAAAGCGUGGGGAGCAAACAGG
This 253-nucleotide ribosomal RNA is filed under the name uncultured bacterium. RNAcentral's name for it is "partial 16S ribosomal RNA". It matches the Rfam family "Bacterial small subunit ribosomal RNA", at positions 524 to 776 of the family's 1533-position model. The record is from RNAcentral.